UUCCUGGUGAACAUAGCAUUUUGGAACCACCUGAACCCAUGCCGAACUCAGUAGUGAAACGAAAUAGCGCCGAUGAUAGUGUGGGGUUUCCCAUGUGAAAGUAGGACAUUGCCAGG
Molecule: ribosomal RNA, 116 nt
Filed under: Pseudoalteromonas luteoviolacea
Lineage: Bacteria; Pseudomonadati; Pseudomonadota; Gammaproteobacteria; Alteromonadales; Pseudoalteromonadaceae
Source: RNAcentral